This 229-nucleotide unclassified non-coding RNA is filed under the name Hevea brasiliensis (rubber tree). Lineage: Eukaryota; Viridiplantae; Streptophyta; Magnoliopsida; Malpighiales; Euphorbiaceae. The record is from RNAcentral.
CAGUUCUGUUCCAGAAUGAAUAGUUUGCUGCUAUCAUGUCCACAUAAUUUUUCAUGUACUCAAUAAGGUUUGUACGACUAUGUGACUUGCGUACAUAGAGUGUUAAUUCUAGAAGCCGUGAACUAUAAGGAAUGUAAAAUAAAUGAGCUUCUCUAGGGUCUUUUGUGACAAAUUUUUUGUUAGUUUCCAUAAGCUUCAUAAACCAUCCUUCUGAUGCAUAUAUUCCUUC